GGAGAGGUGGCAGAGUGGUUGAAUGCGGCAGUCUCGAAAACUGCUUUGGGGAAACCCAACGAGGGUUCGAAUCCCUCCCUCUCCG
Phormidium tenue NIES-30 is the source of this 85-nucleotide transfer RNA. It matches the Rfam family "tRNA". Rfam says of the family: Transfer RNA (tRNA) molecules are approximately 80 nucleotides in length. Their secondary structure includes four short double-helical elements and three loops (D, anti-codon, and T loops). The record is from Rfam. Lineage: Bacteria; Bacillati; Cyanobacteriota; Cyanophyceae; Oscillatoriales; Oscillatoriaceae.